CACUGCUUGCCAUGUGCUGCUAAGAGAGACGUGGAAGGUGCUGGAAGUUGCGUGGCAGAUGGGCUUGCUCGGGAUGUUGAGCUGCUCCCUCUCAUUAGUGCUGCAACUGCGGAUGUUGAGCAAGCAGAGGGAGAAAGGCCACGGUUGUUGGCUGGUCUGGGGACAGGUGGAAGAGGUGCUCAGGUCCCCCUGGAAGGAAACCUUCCCAGCUUGUCAGGGUAAGGUUUUCCCUCCCAGACCGCCUCUAUGGCUAUGAGACAUCAUAAUCUUUCACUAGGUCUGUUCUCACUGGCACCGGAAUCCAGCACUGUGAGAUCACAAUGGGCUGUCCCCAGCCACAGCCCGCAUGCCUGGGGCUUGUACAGAACAGCUGCCCACUGCUUCCACCCUUGUCUUGUGCAAAGAAAGAAAGAAGGGAUAUCUGCAGUCACUUUUGUGGGAUCAAAUGGUUUCUUUUUAGAAGAUAUAUGGUUUCUUUUACUGAUAGAAAUGACCUUAGUUCCCCUUCCAUUUUAAGUUAAUCAUGCUGGUAUUUUGGUGGUGAAAAUAUAAAUGAAGCCUCAUUACAACCAAGUACAUGCAGGUGUUUCAGGAAGUAAACUGUGAAGAGAGUAUCUUGAUAGACAACAGUAUCCAAAUGAAUAAGAAAGCCAAAUGAAUAAUAUUAGCUCCUCAGGUGGCAUCACUGAAGAAACAAGAAAAUUAACAUGGAUGAUUUUGGACCUUUUCUCCCAUGCAGAGCUGUGUGCUCUCCCCCUUCUGUGCUCUGAACAACAGAAACAUGAGGAUGAAGAGAACAGCUUCUUGUUUUCUCAUUUUCUUGACUUGCUAAUCGAUCCUGUAGCCAAGUGGCCCAGAACAGGUGCUUGUUAUAAAGCAGGCAUCCAGACUUUCUCUGAGUCCUGUUGUUUUCUUCCCACAGGUAACAAUGGGAAAGAAACAUCGAAGUUGGCUAGACUGAAUUUCUCAGUCUAGAAGAGCAGAGCACACAUAAAGUUAAAACAAGGGCAGCCAGCAAAUCUUCUGAAAGAUCAAUGCUCAUAUCUCUAACCCAAACUGCGUGGUGGCUGUGUCUGGCAUUACAAACAGCACAGGAUUUUUCUAACAGCAGUCUGUGCUAAGGAAUUAAAUCUGGUAUUCUGUACUGCCAUAGUAGGGCAGUUAGGGAGUGAUCUUCUAUUGACUUCACACUCAAAUGAGCUGUAUUUUUUUAUAAAUCACCACUUUCUUGGCAUGCAGAGCAUGCAUACGGAAGAUCUGAGAUUCAAGGCAUUAGAGAAAUGUUAUGAAGAUCGAUUGGAAGCAGUGAUUAACUACUUAGUGCAUCACAAAGCACCAUUUCCUCAUUCUACAAAAGGGCAAUACAUGGUUAUAGGUCACAAAGCAAAAAUGCUUCUUCAUUUGUAAAGUUUCACAGGCCACAUUCCCAGUCAUUUAAAAUACACUACUUUUUACACUUAUGAAUUAGUAUUUUAGAGGAGCUAAUUUAGUCUGAUAUUCAGCCGCUCUCAGGAUUCCUGCCAACAAAACAGAAAUAGGACAGGUGAAGUGUAGAUAGAGACAGUGAAGUGGAGAUCUAGCAUCUAGAGAAAUACACUGCAGGAACUCAUGAAUUCUAAAAGUGGGGCUGACCCAAAAAGACUGCAAUCAAAAAAAUCUUCAUUCAGACAACUGGCAAGUUCUGUUUGAGGACUGUAACUCUAGAGAAGGUUUAAGCUUUUCUUGAGUGAAGCCUAGAUGCAACAGCAGACGCCUUAGAAAGCUGAGGAGAUUUUUCUGGGAUUGCAUGAUCAGGGAUCAGAAAAAUAAUCACAAAUGUGACAGAAAGCUCACCACCAAGUGAAGAUGCAAAAAACCACAGUACAGCUCACUGGCUGAAAUUGCAGAAAGCUGUCUUCCCACAAAGCAGCUGUUGCCAAACUUCAACUUGCAGAUACAAGACUGUUUGAAAAAAACUGGAAACACUUGAAUUGAUUUUGAAUGCAUUGUGUGACAACAGAUAACAUUCAGAAGCAGGAUGUUAUGCAUUAAGUAAAAAUAAAAAUUGAGUUCUCCUUCAUAAAACCAGAAUUUGAUCCAUUAAGUCUAUUUACAAUUUUUAUUUUUUAUUUUUCUCUGCUCUUAGCAAUAAUUAGUUGGCUUACUAUCUUCCAGUUGGAAACUUAGUCCAAACACACCCUAUAAUUUUCUCUUUCCUUUACAUCACUGGUACCAUUCUACACAAUUCCUCCUGUUUGUUUAGGGUGUGAGCCUUUACAAUAUAUUUGAAACAUUAUAAUGAAAUAAGCAUCCUGAUAGCCACUUAAACAAACCAGAUUUCAAUUGCUUGGAUAUCCAUGCUGACACCAAGUUAAUAGCUUUUGUUCUCUUUUCUCAGACUGCAUACAUCUUUGGUAUUUGAAGUGCUAAGAGUAAUACUAGUUCAGCUCAAAUUCCCAACAAACUUGCAGAGACAGGCAAUAUGUUUUCUCCUGCAUGAUGUGCUCCUGCAUAAACAGAGCUUGUCUUUUUUGUCACAUUUAUAAAUGGCCUUAAAGUGGUCACCACAAUCACCUUUCACACAAUCUUUUCUACAGACAGUUUUCUAUUUCUUUCUAUUGUUCUUUCAUUAAUUCUUCUCUUGCCAUCUCAUUUAGGAUAAAUCUUGCCCAAUUUUAGAUCCUCAUAUUCUAAAAUCCAAAUAUCUUUCAUUUUGUUCUAUCUUGCCUUCUAAAUACAGUUUCAUACAGAAUGAAACAUGCAGGUUUCAUUCUUUUGGGGUUUUUUCUUUCUUCUUUCCCUGUUGCCAUUGGAAGGUCAAAACCCAUUGGAAUUAAGACCUCCUCAUUUAAACCCUUUUGUCCCAAUAAAUCUAUCUACAUUUAUCAUUACUUUUACACUUCUCUGGCUGAAAAGCACAAGUGUUCAAUAGUUCUCAGGAAGACUCUUUGGGACCACCCUAAACCAAGACUGAAUGUCCCUCUGUGAACACAAUGUGCUAAAUCACCGCAUUUGAUCAAGGGCUGGUUGUUUAGGUUGCCCCAUAUCAUGGUUUAGGAAUGGUAUUCCCCAAUUUAGCAAACUCAGAAAAGGAAAAUGUGAAUGUAUUUUCUAUCCAAUGUUUUUAGGUAUUAUGCCUAUGAAUUUUCCUGCACCAAGCUGUUCUCCCACAAAGACACACAUUUGCCUGAAGUUGCUUUACAAACUCACUUUCUUGAUACUCAGAGAGGAAAAAAAUCUGUGGUAAAGGUCUGCCACAGACUGCUUAUUAAUUGUGGACUAGCCAGUUGAUUAGUUUGUACCACCUGCUAAAGAAAGAUAACAGUCUCAUCAUUGCCUCAUUCACACAUCUAUUUAGAUUAUAAAUCCAAUAAACAGGACUUUCUCUUACCAUCUUGUUCAGCAAAAAGAAGAAAUCCAGACCUACCACAAAACCAAAACAUAUUGUUGGCAUAAUUUCCCCAUAAAAAGUCCUUUCUUUUUAGGGGAUAGUGCAUAUUAAUGCAAGUGCAAUUAUGAUAAUUUUCUAAUUCCUAAUCUACCUCUUCAGAAAGGAUGAAGACUCCUGCAUUCACCCUCUGAGUUUAUCAUUGUUUCCCCUUGUUCUGAUGUAGGGCUGCUGAUAACUGAGAUCAUAGCACACCUUCUGCAUCUGAGUCCAGAGCAUCCAAAGGAGUUUUCAAAACUGGUUUUGAAGAGAUGCUUUAAUUCUUGAUUACACUGACUCCUGCACACCUUGGACUCCUGUGAUCAAAGACUCAACACCCCAUCUGCAAACACGAUGCCCUUAUUCAUCUAGCAUGGCUCGGUUCUUACUGGUUGUGUUGAAUAUCUGCUGUACUUUUUUCAUAGUAUUGAAUUUGUGCUUUUUUAGUAGACAUUGAUUUUUGGUCUGUUAAAAAAGCGGAUGUAUUCCUUUUCUUUCUUUCUCCUCUUAUCUCCAGCUAUUUAAACUAUUCUAGAUAUGCAUCUGGAAACACGAGAAAACCUGUGAUCUUUCCUUUGCCCCAUGAUUUAAUUUUGCUAUAAUAAAUUUCCCUUGGAGUACUGCCUUUCUCUCUGGCUGUUGCAACCAAAAUCAGGUCCAGGUACCAGCUGCUAGCUGAAUGUUUUAAUCAGGGAGCUUUCACUUACCAGGCAGUGAGACAACAAGACCUGUUACUUCCUUUGGCAGCCCUAGUGAGAGGGAAUUUUGGUCGUAUUUUUUAAUCUCAAAUCUCUCGUAGUGUUUGCAAGUUUCUCUUGUGAUUUGUCCCUGCAGUUGGUAAAGCAAAAAUAAAAUGUUCUCAAGACAUGUUGUAAGAGAGGAAACAUGCCUUUCUUCCAAUGGCAGUGCUUGAAACAGUGGCCUUGGACUUAAAGCAAAGCCACCUUAAUAAGCUUAUAAUUAUGACAUG
Passer domesticus (house sparrow) is the source of this 4376-nucleotide long non-coding RNA. RefSeq lists it as uncharacterized. Lineage: Eukaryota; Metazoa; Chordata; Aves; Passeriformes; Passeridae. The transcript has 3 exons. The record is from RefSeq and is a predicted model, not a curated record.